Molecule: ribosomal RNA, 468 nt
Filed under: uncultured bacterium
Lineage: Bacteria
Description: partial 16S ribosomal RNA
Rfam family: Bacterial small subunit ribosomal RNA
Source: RNAcentral
GACGAACGCUGGCGGCGUGCUUAACACAUGCAAGUCGAACGGAAAGGCCCUGCUUUUGUGGGGUGCUCGAGUGGCGAACGGGUGAGUAACACGUGAGUAACCUGCCCUUGACUUAGGGAUAACUUCAGGAAACUGGGGCUAAUACCGGAUAGGAGCUCCUGCUGCAUGGUGGGGGUUGGAAAGUUUCGGCGGUUGGGGAUGGCCUCGCGGCUUAUCAGCUUGUUGGUGGGGUAGUGGCUUACCAAGGCUUUGACGGGUAGCCGGCCUGCGAGGGUGACCGGCCACAUUGGGACUGGGAUGAGGCCCAGACUACUACGGGAGGCAGCGGUGGGGAAGGUUGCACAAUGGGAGGAAGCCUGAUGCAGCAACGCCGCGUGCGGGAUGACGGCAUUCGGGUUGUAAACCGCAUUCGCCUGGGACGAAGCGUGAGUGACGGUAAUGGAUAAAGAAGCACCGGCUAACUACGUG